RNAcentral lists this unclassified non-coding RNA (2791 nucleotides) under Hevea brasiliensis (rubber tree). The record is from RNAcentral. Lineage: Eukaryota; Viridiplantae; Streptophyta; Magnoliopsida; Malpighiales; Euphorbiaceae.
GAAAAGAAAAUGAAAUUGGUUGCCUUCCAGAACCGAAAAAAAGGGCAAAAAAGAAGAGAGCUUGGAAUCCCAAAACCCCUUUUACUUUUGCAGAUUCUCUGAAUGCUCGACCAAAAUCAGUGAAAAAGAGGGAGGGAAACUCUAAGCAAAUUAAAAUUUGAUCGAUCGACGAUCAUCAUCCUAUCAUGUCGUUUUCCUUCUUCAAGCCGUCUCGGCCUAAAACGCCGCAAGAGGUGGUCAGAGCAGUGAAAGAUAGCCUCAUGGCUCUCGAUACCAAAACUGUUGUUGACGUUAAAGCUCUCGAGAAGGCGAUGGAAGAAGUUGAGAAAAAUCUUGUGGCAGUGAGAUGUAUGCUCUGUGGAGAUGGAGAGGUCGAACCAAAUAUAGAUCAAGUAUCACAGCUGGUGCUUGAAGUUUGUAAAGAGGACGUUCUUGCUCUUGUGAUUCACAAACUCCCUAACUUGGGAUGGGAAGCGAGAAAGGAUUUAGUCCAUUGUUGGUCCGUGUUGUUGAAGCAAAAGGUUGAUUCCAAAUAUUGCUCUGUAGAAUAUAUAGAGAACCAUUUUGAAUUAUUAGACUUUCUUGUCGUGUGUUAUGAUAACAAGGAAAUUGCCUUGAACUGUGGACUUAUGUUAAGGGAGUGCAUCAAAUUUCCAACCCUUGCAAAUGUUUUUUCAGAUACAUAUUAGAGUCUGCAAGCUUUGAAUUGUUCUUCAAAUUUGUGGAGUUGCCAAAUUUUGAUGUUGCUUCUGAUGCUUUCUCUACUUUCAAGGUCAGAGUUAUGAGUUUGUAAGUUCUAGUUUCUUUAUGUUAUACCUGUUAAAUUUUAAGCCUCUAGUUAUGCAUACUUUAAAUUUUUGUAAGUAAAUGCUUCUCAGGAUUUGCUUACUAAACAUGGCACUGUGGUUGCUGAAUAUCUCACUGCACACUAUGACGAGUUCUUUGAUCUGUAUGAAAAACUAUUGACAUCUCCUAAUUAUGUGACAAGAAGGCAAUCAUUGAAGGUUAGUUUCUACCAAAAGUUCUUAAAUUCUACGCUGCUGCUGUUUUUAUCCGUAAGUUAACAGGACUACGUAGUGGAUUUAGCUUCUCUCGGAAUUCCCUUUGGAGGCUCCAAAUUCUCAUAUAAUGAAGCGCUACGUUUUAGAAGUUCGAUACUUAAAAGUCAUGAUGACAUUGCUGAAGGCAUGGCAAUUUUCAUUUUCAUUCUAUUUCUUACAUCUUAAUUUUGGAUUUUUUUUGUUUGAUGAAUUGGAUAUGUUGUACAUGGAUUAGAUGGGUGUUUUGAAGCAAUUGUACCAUAUAGCUGAUAGCUAUUAAAGUUAGAAUACUGACUAAGCUCAAAAGAGCCCAAAAAGACAUGAAAUUAGAGAGCUAAAAGCCUUGAACAAGAAGGGGCCUCUCCGAUUCUAAUGUUUUGUUUUGAUUACUGAGAGUGGAACCCCCUUAAUAUCAUGUGAAAAUACAUGAGGCCGCAAUUGGAAUUACAUAAUUUUUAGUAACAGGAUAACUCUCUGUAUCUUUUGCUCUCCCAUAAUCAGGUUUGUAUGUCUUUUAGCUCUGUUCUACAAACAGUAGUAGUUCUAAUGUCUAUUUGAUCCCUUAGUAUAAAGAAACUAAACAAUCUCAUCAGAAUUGGCACCUGGGCGUUUCUAUCUGCUGGCUUUCCAGUUUGUUCUAGUGGAAAAGUUUACUCCCCAUUUGUGUUCUAUGCGUCACACAAGAAUUCUUGAAUGCUUUUUUCAUGGGAAGUCAUUACAAUUUUGAUUCUGAACUAGCUUGAGAGCUGUUAAAUGAUUUGAGUAUGAUGCUAUACCUAUUCUCAGGACACAAAAUUAUGGAGGGUUUCACUGCUUCUCGUGGGAUGGAUUAAUGUGUGCAGUGAAGUAUUUCUAUACAUAGGAAAGUACUCGCUGUCUGAAUUUUUAAAUAUCCAAUAUGCAGUUCAGCCAUCAGAGCUUCAUGCUUUUUACCUGUCUGUCUGAUAAGAUGCUAAGAUUGUCUCACUUUGCCUUCUUGGUGUGUUACAGACUUGAAGUGGUAUUUGAUACUUCUGUGAGCUCAUGGAUAUCUUGAGCUAUAAUAGAUUUUUUUUUUCCUUUUGAAUAUAUAUUUGAAUCAUUUAUAAUUACUAAUUUGUAGUGUGACCAUUUUAUCUACUUUGUUUCUGGCUGUGAGCAGGACUCGAGCAAAAAUAUUCAGAUCUCAGCUUUCCACAUUUUCAAGGUUCUGCAAUCUCAUUCUGCGAUCUUAUCUUUUUCUGUCAUUUUUGAGGGAUCAAGCAAAAAUAGUCUGAUGUUGAGCUAUCCCAUUCCAAUGACAUUGCUACUUCCCCAUAAUCAUGUUUUAAAAUUUAAUCCCAAGACCUUCCAUGUUGGUGCAUACCAUUGGAACUAGAGCCUUUCUUUUAUAGAGCAAGUAUAUUAUUGGCUAAUAGUUUAGUUUCCCCUGAAGUCCAGCUUGGCUACACUGUGGAGGGAGGCCAUCAAUUUUACUUGCAGUCUAGCAGAUGAAAAUAAGCAUGUGCUUUAGCAUGUGGAAUUUUUUCUUCCUUAUUUAGUUGGUAAUUUUACUUGCAGUCUAGCAGAUGAAAAUAAGCAUGUGCUUUAGCAUGUGGAAUUUUUUCUUCCUUAUUUAGUUGGUAAUUUUACUUGCAGUCUAGCAGAUGAAAAUAAGCAUGUACUACUCUUCCUUAUAUGGUAGUGAGUGUUGGGUAAUGAAGCAGCUGUAUGUGUCUAAGAUGAGAGUUGCCAUACUAGAAAAAAAAGUAGUGUGACCACUUCCUUAUACG